AUGGCAGAAGCUUUAGCCCUCAAAUUUGGACUAACACUAGCGCAAAGGGCAGGGUGCAAUCGCCUAAUCAUCAACUCAGAUAAUCUAGAGGUGACUGAGACCAUGCAGGAUGGAGGACAGUCAAUGGGUGCGGCAGCGGUAAUUUUCGAUGACUGCUUCCAUUACGCAUGUGAUUUUAUCAUGACUAGAUUCGAACAUUGUAAUAGAGAGGCAAAUAAAGUAGCACAUGAACUUGCUAGAUUAGCUAGAUUUUCUUCAACUUCAGAUUGGUUCGAGGAGCCUAUCAAUGAAAUUGUACUCAUCCUCACAAACGAUGUACUGGUUAUUUCUAAUGAAUAA
Molecule: ribosomal RNA, 339 nt
Filed under: Triticum aestivum (bread wheat)
Lineage: Eukaryota; Viridiplantae; Streptophyta; Magnoliopsida; Poales; Poaceae
Description: partial small subunit ribosomal RNA
Source: RNAcentral